UACGUAGGGUGCAAGCGUUAAUCGGAAUUACUGGGCCUAAAGCGUGCGCAGGCGGUUUUGUAAGUCUGUCGUGAAAGCCCCGGGCUCAACCUGGGAAUUGCGAUGGAGACUGCAAGGCUUGAAUCUGGCAGAGGGGGGUAGAAUUCCACGUGUAGCAGUGAAAUGCGUAGAGAUGUGGAGGAACACCGAUGGCGAAGGCAGCCCCCUGGGUCAAGAUUGACGCUCAUGCACGAAAGCGUGGGGAGCAAACAGG
RNAcentral lists this ribosomal RNA (253 nucleotides) under uncultured bacterium. RNAcentral's name for it is "partial 16S ribosomal RNA". It matches the Rfam family "Bacterial small subunit ribosomal RNA", at positions 524 to 776 of the family's 1533-position model. The record is from RNAcentral.